UUCUUACCAUUUAAUGAGAGAAAAUAAUUCCUUCAACAGUCUCAAACAAUGUGAAUAAUAAAGUAUUUUAAUUAAUAAACAACUAAUAAUGUGAAAUUAUAAAUUUUUAAUAAAAAAAAAGUUGAUUAAAUGAGUCCAUAACGGAAAAAAAAUGUAAAGACCUAGGAAUUAAACUCCCAUUUUUUUUCUUUCUAAAUAACACAAUCACCACUAGACUACUUUAUAUUACAUGAAUUUAUUUGCAACUAAAUUUAUAUAUUAUUUAAUAUUAUAUUUAUAUUAGCCUCAAAUAUCAAAUUUGAGGCCCUCUGCGAUAGCACUCCUUCACACCCACAGGGCCGGUCCUGCGUGAGACGGCGAUAAAUGUCCAAAUAAAGGCAAUGAAGAAGAGACAAAUUGAGAUAGAGGAAAUAAUGUGACAAAUGCUCUCACAAAAAGAGAACCAAAUAAAUAAUUCAAUGAGGAUGAUGUGGAUGUGAUGAUGAUGUGGAUAAAGUUAUGAAUGAUGAAGAGGAUGAUGAUGUUGAUGAAUAUUUUUACUGUUAUUUUACUUGUAAAUAUUAGUUUUUUUAAAAAAACUUGUAAUUAUUUUGAAUUUAAUUAUUUUUAAUUGAAAUUCACGUGAUAAAUCUAAUAUUUGUGUCAUGAAAUUCAUAUUGAAAGAUUAUAGUCAUAUGACAAAUCUAAUUAUUUUGAAUUUAAUAAAAAUAUUAAAUUGUUUGAAGAAAAAUAUUUCUUUUAUUAUUUAUCUUUCUAAUUUUAUUAAUUUAUUUAAGUAAUCAAAUAUAUUUUUAAAAUUUUAUAAAAUUUAACAUAAUAAUAUUAUACUCCCAAAAUAAUUGUCGCAUCUUAUAAAAUUAUUUAUCUUAAAAUAAGUGUCAUUUUUAGUUUUCAGUAGAAUUUUAUUAGUUAUCUUCCAAUUAUACCCUUUAAUUAAUACUCUUAAUUUAUUAUUCUUUUGUUUAUGAUAAUUCAAGCACAUCAAUGAACAAAUAAUUUGAUAAAUUUAAUUUAUUUAUUUAUUACAUUUUUUUAAUAGGCAUGGAAUAACCAAUUAUAAUAAUUAUUAAAAUUUACUGCUUAACCACAGCUAUUUAGCCUAGGUUAAGAGACUGUAACGUUUUUUUUGGUAGUGUAAACUGAAAUUAAGAAAUAAAAGAGCAAUAUAAACAAUAUUAAUUGCUGCUUCAUUUGAUCUCAUCGUCAUCACUUCUUAAUAAAAUUCAAUAAUUGGAUGUCUGCAAACUAGCUCACAAAAUAUUUAAUCAUAAGCAAUAUUUCUUAAAUCUUUUGCUUGUGAAUCUCUCGUUCUUCCUUGAAAAGUGUUUUAACCAUAUAAAAUAACACAUUCACAUUGAUGGCGAAUACACCAAGGAAUCCGAGGAACAACACACAUUUUUUUUGAACAAUCGAAAUCAUUGAUACAUUCAACAAGUGCUAUAAUAAAUAAAGAUAAUAUAAUAGUAUUAGUUAAAGGAGGAAAAAAAGUGUGUACUAAGUAAAUAAGAAAAUAUUAUAUAGAAAAAUGGUUUACCAUGAAUAUUCGUCACAACAAGAAACAUUGAUAGAAAGAGAAUUAUAACAACAACAAACUCCAUUGCUUUAACCAUAUCUUCCUCUUUACAAAUACAAAAAUGAUUUCAUCACUUUAUAAAGUAUAAACAUAAAGCUAUCUUAAAUAAGUUAAAUCGAUUUUAAAACUUAUGAAAGGGUAAAAAGA
RNAcentral lists this long non-coding RNA (1720 nucleotides) under Lathyrus oleraceus (garden pea). Its description in RNAcentral is "Pisum sativum (pea) long non-coding RNA (PSAT_LNC037871)". The record is from RNAcentral. Lineage: Eukaryota; Viridiplantae; Streptophyta; Magnoliopsida; Fabales; Fabaceae.